AUGGUUCUCGGGCACCGUGGGCGGGAGGCAGUGACGAGGGCGGGGGGAAGAGCGUGUCCGCCCGGAGGCUCGAUGACUCACCGCGGGGGCCCGCAGCAUCCCCGCGGCCCCUCCGCGUCUUUUCCCCCCUUUCCACGUCUCUCCCUUCCCCGCAGGACCCCCGGGCUCCGGGCUGGGCACACGCCACCCCCAUGGCAAGGGGAAGCAGGGCUCGCCACCACCCGCCAGGGCUCCCCUGAAAAUCCUGCUUGCCCCCAGGGCUCCCUGCCGGGGCAGGAGGGAUGCAGGGAUACAGGGAUGCAGGGCUCAGCCCCGCCAGGAGCCGGGGAAAACCCACAGGCACGCUCCAAGAAGCCGCCACCGUGCUGGGGGAGCACCCCGCUGCAGGACGUUCAGCAACACCCCCUGCCUUGCACCCGCACCCUCGCACCCUCGCUCCACCCUCGGCGGCGUGGGGCACCCAGGGCUCUCCCCAACCCCUGGAAGGGGCACCCAGGGCUCUCCCCAAGCCCUCCUCGCGCCCCGGAGGAGAAUCACCCACAUAUCUGCAGCCCUGAUGCAUCAGGCUCACCUGCCCGCACGUGCCGCCUGCCCCGGGGCGACGCAAGGGGCCCCCGCCGUGCUGCAGCCCCACGGGCACCUGGCCCAGGCGUGGGGACCAUCAGCGGUGAUGCCGUCGCGUCCUCCGUGGGAUCCUGCUCGGGGUCACCCGUGUCCCACCAGCCAGCCCCGAGCUGUCCCGGCAGCGUCUCCGCCAUCCGGAGCCUGCGGAGGUUUCGUGUUGCGAGUGCAAUUUUCUGGAGGAAACACCGAGCGUAUCCCAGGGGGGCAAGAAGGAGGGGUGGUACUCGAGCACAGUCACGCACGGUUCUGAUCUGGGCUUUGCAGCGUGUUUUGAAAAGGUUCGAGGGCUGGAAAACCUGCCAGGAAUACAGGCAGGAAUACAGAAGGGAAGGGGCUGGGGGCUGCGUCUGCGAGGGGCCAGAUGCCUCGGCUGGACCUUUAAUCCAGCAGCGACAGCGUAACGUCUAG
RNAcentral lists this long non-coding RNA (1032 nucleotides) under Anser brachyrhynchus (Pink-footed goose). RNAcentral's name for it is "lncRNA (ENSABRG00000001396.1)". The record is from RNAcentral. Lineage: Eukaryota; Metazoa; Chordata; Aves; Anseriformes; Anatidae.